This 764-nucleotide long non-coding RNA is filed under the name Cricetulus griseus (Chinese hamster). Its description in RNAcentral is "lncRNA (ENSCGRG00015037008.1)". The record is from RNAcentral. Lineage: Eukaryota; Metazoa; Chordata; Mammalia; Rodentia; Cricetidae.
UGGUGAGGGAUCGUAAAUGAACACUUUUGUUCCUGCCUCCCAAGGCAGGUGAAACAAGACAGUCACUCUUGUCUGACCACCUGGAGUCCGGAAGAAAAUGCCUGGAGGACUGAGUCACCCACUAGGCCUGAGGUCUUAGUUUUUCUUGAAAGUGAAUUUCCAGAGAGAAGAUGCACCUAGAAGAUGGAAGGAUGAAGAUAGGAGAGGGGACCGAUCUCAGGAAUACUUGGGAAAGAGCAUUUUGAAGUAAGGUAUAUUCACAGCUUCAGGAAGACUGAAACAGAAGAGUUUUAAACCAAGGACACCAAAGUUCCAGUAUGGAGUUCUAGAGGUCUAACUCGGGUCACACCAAGUACUCACUCUACCCCCAGCUACUACCUGCUCUUCACCAGCCUCCUCUCAUGGCUUGAAACCCACGAUGUGAGGCAUGGAUAACCAUGGGAUCUUUAAUGUGAGGCCUCUUCAAUUCUGCAACAGCCCAAUCUUCACAGAAGAGCAGAGCCAUGGUGACCUAUGAGACAAGAAAAGCAGGACCGGGGCUGGGGAGACUGCCCCGCAGUUAAGAGCACUGGCUGCUCCUCCAAGAGGAGCAGGGUUCCAUUCCCAGCACAGGUGGCUUCCAGGAGUUAAGUUAACCAUCUUAACUCCAGUUCCAGGGCGUCCAAUGUCUUUCUGUGGCCUCCACAGCACCAGACAUGCUCAUGGUAGACAGACACAGACAAAACGCCCAUAAGAAUACAACACAAAUACAUUUUUAAAAAGAA